This 422-nucleotide ribosomal RNA is filed under the name uncultured bacterium. Its description in RNAcentral is "bacterial SSU rRNA". It matches the Rfam family "Bacterial small subunit ribosomal RNA", at positions 355 to 775 of the family's 1533-position model. The record is from RNAcentral.
UGAGGAAUAUUGGUCAAUGGGCGCAAGCCUGAACCAGCCAUCCCGCGUGAAGGAAGAAGGCGCUAUGCGUUGUAAACUUCUUUUCCAGGGGAAUAAAAUUCUGUACGUGUACGGAAUUGAAGGUACCCUGGGAAUAAGCAUCGGCUAACUCCGUGCCAGCAGCCGCGGUAAUACGGAGGAUGCAAGCGUUAUCCGGAUUUAUUGGGUUUAAAGGGUGCGCAGGCGGAGUAGUAAGUCAGGGUGAAAACCUGCAGCUUAACUGUAGAAUUGCCGUUGAUACUGCUGCUCUUGAGUAUGGUCAAGGUAGGCGGGAUGUGUAAUGUAGCGGUGAAAUGCUUAGAUAUUACACAGAACACCGAUUGCGAAGGCAGCUUGCUGGGCCAUUACUGACGCUCAUGCACGAAAGCGUGGGGAUCGAACAG